UCACAGGCUGUUUUAAAAGCCACUAAUAACAUAUAUACAUAAUCUU
Non-coding RNA from Trichobilharzia regenti, 46 nucleotides. NCBI's taxonomy places the organism in Eukaryota, Metazoa, Platyhelminthes, Trematoda, Strigeidida, Schistosomatidae. The record is from Rfam.